UCCGGCCAUUUCACGUUGAAACACCUUUUCCCGUACGAUUACAAAAGCAAAGCAACGUCGUGCCUGAUCAGUAUCUAGAUGAGUGACCACUUGGGUAUACCAGGUGCUGUAAG
Molecule: non-coding RNA, 113 nt
Organism: Acanthosepion pharaonis
Lineage: Eukaryota; Metazoa; Mollusca; Cephalopoda; Sepiida; Sepiidae
Source: the annotation of a GenBank genome assembly